This 253-nucleotide ribosomal RNA is filed under the name uncultured bacterium. Its description in RNAcentral is "partial 16S ribosomal RNA". It matches the Rfam family "Bacterial small subunit ribosomal RNA", at positions 524 to 776 of the family's 1533-position model. The record is from RNAcentral.
UACGUAGGGUGCAAGCGUUAAUCGGAAUUACUGGGCGUAAAGAGUGCGUAGGCGGUUUUCUAAGUUUGGUGUGAAAUCUCCCGGCUUAACUGGGAGGGUGCGCCGAAGACUGGAAGGCUAGAGUAUGGGAGAGGUAAGCGGAAUUCCUGGUGUAGCGGUGAAAUGCGUAGAUAUCAGGAGGAACACCUGCGGUGUAGACGGCUUACUGGACCAUAACUGACGCUGAGGCACGAAAGCGUGGGUAGCAAACAGG